This 5994-nucleotide long non-coding RNA is filed under the name Sus scrofa (pig). RNAcentral's name for it is "lncRNA (ENSSSCG00015035804.1)". The record is from RNAcentral. Lineage: Eukaryota; Metazoa; Chordata; Mammalia; Artiodactyla; Suidae.
UUUUUGCCAUUUCUUGGGCCGCUCCAGCAGCAUAUGGAGGUUCCCAGGCUAGGGGUCCAAUCGGAGCUGUAGCCACCAGACUAUGCCAGAGCCACAGCAACUCGGGAUCCGAGUCGCGUCUGCAACCUACACCACAGCUCAUGGCAACGCCAGAUCGUUAACCCACUGAGCAAGGGCAGGGACCGAACCCACAACCUCAUGGUUCCUAGUCGGAUUCGUUAACCACUGCACCAUGACGGGAACUCCAUGUUUGUUUAUUUUUGAAUGAAUGCUGGCCAUCAUGUUUGAAAAUUAAAUGUUUUUAAAAGUAAUGUGAGGCCAACUUAGAUGAAGUCACCUUCUUUUCAGAGAUGUUUUUUGAUUGUUUGUUUGUUUUUUGCUUUUAACUCCAGGCUGGGAACCAUCUUAAUCCAAGUUCAGGGCUGUAAGUUUUUUUGUUUUGUUUUGUUUUGUUUUUGAUUGCCCAGGUGAUGUUAAGCCAUGCUGAAAAUCCCAGAAGGAAGGAAGGAAAGGAUGGAGGAGUGAGGGAGGGAGGAAGAGGAAGAAAGAAAGGAAGAAAGAGAGAGAGAGAGAAAAGAAAGAAAGAGAUAAAGAAAGAAAGAAAGAAAGAAAGAAAGAAAGAAAGAAAGAAAGAAAGAAAGAAAGAAUGAAAGGGAGGGAGGGAGGGAGGGAAAAGAAAAGAAAAGAAAAGAAAAGAAAAGAAAAGAAAAGAAAAGAAAAGAAAAGAAGAAAAGGGAGGGAGGGAGGAAGGAAGAAAGAAGGAGACGUUCCCAUUGUAGUGCAGUGGAAAUGAAUCCGACUAGGAACCUUGAGGUUGUGGGUUUGAUCCCUGGCCUCGCUCAGUAGGUGAAGGAUCUGGCAUUGCUGUGAGCUAUUGGUAGGUAGCAGAUGCAGCUUGGAUCCUGCAGUGCUGUGGCUAUGGCAUAGGCCAGCAUCUGUAGCUCUGAUUCGACCCCUAGCCCGGGAACCUCCACAAGCCUGCCACGAGUGUGACCCUAAAAAGCUAAAAGAAAAGAAAGAAGGAAGGAAAGAAAAAAAAAGAAUAAAGACAGAAUUACUUUUAGUGCACCCUUACUCUGAGAAUAAAACCAGUCAGGGUACCAGCUUAGUAGGUAUAUGGGAGAAUGAGUAUUAGACUCUCAUCACAAGCUGCAAACCUGGGCUUUAACUUCUCUUCCCCUUGGCUCAUGCAAUCCACAGAACUACAGCUCAGUUAGCAGUUAUUUCUUAACAUAUCAACAAAUGACCUCAGAAUAAAAGUUGCUUUGAGUGAGCAACUUAACCUCUUCCAAGAUUUUGGCUUGUAAUUCCUUACUAUCUAGUUGGAUUUUUAGGGCUUUAAAAUUAUGAUUUUCAUAUUUUAUCUGGAGUUUUGUUUUCCCAGGAGAAAAGCUAAUCUAAAUUUCCUAGAUGGCCAUUUCAGGAGUUAUUAUAUCAUAUGUUAAUUUAAAAAUAUCAAAUUAGAAAAUAAGGAAAAAAAAUAAAAAUAAUUUGAAACACCACUGUCGGAGAUAUCCAGUAUUAAAAUUGUAGCAAACAUCUUUUCAGAACUCUAUGCAUACAUUCAAACAUAAAUUAUUCUAUAUAAACAUAAACCUGUAUUAUGAGCUAGUCUAUAACUUUGACUCAACAUAAUCAUUUUUAUGUUAAUAUAGACAGAUAUUAUCAUCUAUAAUAUUUGCAUAGUAAUAUCUAAGACUUAUUGAGUACUUACGUGCAUGAGUUUUCAAUGCAUUAAUUCAUUCCAUCUUUGUCACACUUUCCAUGAUAGAGGUUAUAAAUUAUGAAGUUAUUUUAGAGAUUUUAAAACAUUUCAUAUCUUAGCAAAUUUAGGCAGAGACAUUAAAUGAUGUGAUCAAAAUUGUACAAGUGGUAAGGCCAGAUUUAAACUCAGACAGUCUGACUCCAGAGUCUGGCUUGCUUAUAAGAGCUGCACAGUGCAUAAUGUUCCACUGCAUGGAUGUAAUUAAUUUAUUAAACCAAGCCCCUACUGAUGGAUAAUUCAAUUAUUCACAAUGGUUUUUUUUUUUUUUUAUUAUAUAAAAACGACUUUUAAAAAUCCUUGCCCAUAUAUCUUUAUGUACUUGUUUAUUUAUAUCCUCAGAGAAAAUUCCUACAAAGAGAAUUGCCAUGUCAAGGGAAUAUACAUUUAAAAUUUUAAAUUCUGGUACAUACUGCCAAACUGCAUUCCAGAAAGGUUUACCAUGUCACAGUUCCUCAGCCAGUUUAUGAAAGUGCCUUAUCCGCUGGCUUCCAUUUUAGCACUGUUUUGCCAUUAUUUUCCUCUGUGAUGCUCUGAGCAUUGUUAUUUGCAUUUCUUUUCAAACUGUGCUAUUGAACCGUUACUGUCUAGUGAGCUCUCUAGAUUCCCUUUUGCUGAUUUCUUCUAUUCAAUACUGGCUUUGUCCUGCUGUUUUCUCUUCAUCAGUUUGUCCCAUGGAAAAUUCAGCUUUGUGGUUAUGUUUCUUUUCAGAAAGCAUUUUUUCAAGAUGCAGGAUUAUUCAGAGUCUCUCCUAAACCAUAUUUUCUGAUUAGGAUGCAGCUACCUCAAUGACUAAGAUACUAAUUUCAGAGCUGUGAUUCUUUUCCCCCUGAAUGCUGCAGAAUCUGUUCACUUCUUUUUAAAAAUAAAAAAAAAAAUUUUUAUGGGUGCACCCCCAGCAUAUGGAGGUUGCCAGUGAUAAAAUCCAAGCCACAGAUAUGACCUACACCACAGCUGCAGCAAUGCCUAGAUCCUUAACCCACUGUAUCACAGUGGGAACUCCUCACUUCAUUUCUUUAUCUCCUUUCUAGUCAAAGAAGCUGAGCAAUUGCCAGUAUCUCAGCAGUUUUUUUCCAGGCCCAUAUGACCUUCUACUUAAUGGUGUGUGGGCUUUGGAGAAUGCAGAUUUAAAACUGUCUUACUACUGAAGGUCACUCUUGUAGUCCAUCUGUUGAGUUGUACCCUGCAGGUCUGCAAGCCCUGUACUUGCCCAGCCUCAAGAAUGAAGAAAGAGCCUGGAAUCAACAAACAGACAUGGACAGGGAGAUCUUACAUGUUUGAAAAAACAUCCUGGAGCAACACCCCACCAUGUGUGGCAGACAGUGGGCAGGAUAUGGUGGCAGUCUUUACAACCAGGGCGGGAGGUGUGGAGGGAGGUUACCAGUCAGCUUGGUUCAUGGGUUACCAGGGAAACCAGCCUAUGAACUGGCCCCUCACCACCCCUUUGAUAAGCUAUCAGAUAGAGCAGACACAGUUUUCAUCAGAACAAUCAUUAGCUGGGGCUGGGGCAAGUAUGUAGACAUUGAUUAGGCUCAAUGACUUGGAAGUCAGUCAUGUGACUAGGGUACAGGUGAAUCAGAGAUCAGUCAGCAGGGAAGGUACAGAAAGCAGAACAGCCAUUGGGUGGUCUGACCAUACACCAUCCAAGAGCAAUUUACAAUCAAAGAACUUCAGUUUAGAUAGACCCAAAACUAAAUUUUCAAGGUAGCCCUCCUGCCUUCCUUCCUUCCCUCCUUCCAUUCUCACACACUUCUUUAUAAUUUCUCAAACACCGUGAAGGCAAUAUACAUUUCAAAAGAUCAGUUCUUAAAAUUCCACUUUCUCUCCUACUUCUCUUAUAUAUUCCAUUUUCUUCCCCCCUUCUAUUUCUCUAGCAAAAUUUCUCCUUACAGCUUGCCUGUCAUGCUCCCAAAUCUGCAUUUCUAAAGCCCAAAGAAUACUUCUAAAACUGUCUGUCACAUCACUGGAGAGCAAGGAAGAGGAAACAAAUGAACAGAGGAAACUGAAAAACCAGAUUCCUCCUCUAUAGGAAAUGGAAAUGCUGAGGAAAUGGUGAAAAAGCAUGUGCUGAUACUGUUAGUCCUAUCAGAAAGAGAAGUGCACAGUGUUUCAAUAUGUGUCUACAUAAGUUCUAGUCCUUUCUCUCUGAUGUGCUGAUGGGCAGGAAUGAUGAUAAACAGAUAAACUCUGCCACUGCCAGGGAGGGGGUGCUCAGGACAAUGAAGUAAACAGGAGGGAUUUCUUGCCUUGGGGAAAUGAGGGGAAUUAGCACAGCUCUGACACUGCUGUUACAGUGAUCCAAUGCCAUAUAAACAAACACAAAAAAUUAGAGAUCAGUAAAAGAGGUCUCCAAAAUAGGUGCAAAUGAAGCAACUAUCAAGGAGAAGGGUAUACAAUACAUGGAGUUCCCUGUUGUCCUAGCCAUUCCACCUUUCUUUUCAUUAGUGUUUAUACGGGAUAUCUUUUCUCUUCUUUCACUUUUAACCUUUCUCUGCCUUUAUACUGAAAGUGUGUUUCUUGUACAUUGUUACAAGAAAUAAGAACAAAUUGGUUCUUUUCUUUUUUUCUGCUUUUUAGGGCCACACCUGCAGCAUAUGGAAGUUCUCAAUCUAGGGGUUGAAUUGGAGCUGCAGCUGCCAGGUUAUGCCACAGCCACAGCAAUGCCAGAUCUGAGCCGUGUCUGCGACCCACACCACAGCUCUUGGCAAGGCCAGAUCCUUAAGCCACUGAGUGAGGCCAGGGAUUGAACCUGCAACCUCAUGGUUCCUAGUCAGAUUCGUUUCUGCUGCACCACAACGGGAACUACUGGUCCUUAUUUUUAUAUUUUAUAAUCUGUUUUUUAACUGAGAUGAUUUAGACCAUUUAUAUUUAAUGCAAUUAUCGAUAUAACUGGGUUUAUAUCUAUAAUAUUCCUGCUUGUUUUUUAUUUAACGUAUUUAUUCUUCAUUACUUUGUCCUUCUUUUCUCAUCUUUUGGAUUGAAUAUUUUUGAGUACGUUCUCUAAGUUGUACCAUAUAUAUCUUCAAUUUAUUACAGUUUACCUUCACAUAAGACUACAAAUAUGCAUACAGUUAAAGAAUCUUAACAAUAGUGUGUUUCCAUUUCCCUGUCCCUAUCCUUCAUUCCCAUACAUUUUACUACCACUUGUAUUAUGAACCCCACCAUGCUUGUUGCUAAUUUUGAUUUAAACAAUUAUAUUUACAAGGUAGUAAAAAUUAGAAAAAUAUUUCUUUUGUAUUUAUUUACAUAUUUACCAUUUCCAGGGCUCUGCAUUAGUGGGUGGGUGUAUUUGCACACGUGUGGUUUCAAAUUUCCAUCAGAAAUCAUUUCAUUUCAGUCUGAAAAGCUUCCUUUAACAUGCUUUCUAGUGCAGAUCUGGUAACAAUGAAUUUUCUUAGCUUUCUUUUGUCUGAAAUUCUUUACCUUCAUCUUUUAAUGUUUUCAUUAGGUUUAGAAUUCUAGGUUGACUGCUCUCGCCCUCACUUUAAAAAUAUCCCUUGAAGGUAUUCUCAAGAAGUCUGCUGUCAUAUUAUAUUCCUCCAUAUGUAAUAUGUAUUUUUCAUUCUUGAAUGUUUUUUACCUUCAUUUACUUAUUCCUUCUCUAAUGGAAUCCCUUUUUAAAUUAUUUAUUCUUCUCUAAUUCCUUCAUUUAUUUAUCUUUCUCUAAUGUUCUUCCUUUAUGUAAAUUUAAGCCUCUGACUUAUACCAUGCUCUUUCUCUCUGAAGAACUUACUUUAACAUUUCCUACAAGACAAGCCCACUGGCAGCAAAUUCUGUCAAUUUUUUUUUUUUUUGUCUGAGAAAGUCUUUACUUCUUCACACAGUUUUCUGAGGAAAACUUGGAUAUAAUUCUUAUCUUUGCACCUCUUUAUAUAUUUUUUUUCACUCUGCUUUCUUUCAAGCUUUUUCUUCAUCUUUUAAAUUCUUCAGUUUGAAGGUGAUUUACCUAGGUAUAGUCUUUUUGAUUGUUUUUCUGAAUGUGUGUGAGGUUUUUGUUUUGUUUUGUUUUGCAUUUACUCUCCCAGCUGUUCUCUGAACUUUGGAUCCAUGGCUUAGGAUCUCACAUUAAUUUGGGGGAAAUUCUCCAUUAUUAGGACUUCAAAUAUUGCAUCUGCUCCAUUUUCUUUUUUCUCCUUUUGUAGUCAACCAACAGUUCUUGGAUAUUGCUCCAUUCCCACAAUGGGAACUCCUUUUCAGUCAUUUUUAACUUUGCUUUUUAGUCUCAGAGUUCC